Long non-coding RNA from Carassius auratus (goldfish), 378 nucleotides. RefSeq lists it as uncharacterized. The record is from RefSeq and is a predicted model, not a curated record. The transcript is spliced from 3 exons. Lineage: Eukaryota; Metazoa; Chordata; Actinopteri; Cypriniformes; Cyprinidae.
AUGGAGAAAGAUGAAGAUUUUUUCUUUCUAUCGCAUAUUUGUUUUUAAAAUGUACUCUGUAUUUGUGUGUGUGUGCGUGUUUGCGCUAUUUAUUGAUAAUUGUAAAUCAGGAGAAAUGUGUAUGUUCUGACAGACAUUUCAGGUGCUGGCAAAAACCCUACAGGCCUACAAGGAAUUGCCCAUGCUGUAUUAUGCUGGCAAGUGCUCACGCUCUUUUGACGACAGUGAUGGUCAAGAAAUCCAGAGAAAAGAAAAAAAACAAGGAUAGUGAUAUGAAGAUUUGGAUAUCCAGGUCUCGGUGAAGUUCUAAUGACAUUUGGCGCCACAAGAUGGCAGUGUAAGCGCGGGAAAGGGAAAGGAAGUCCUUUUUGAGACAUU